GGAUUCGCCAGCCUAGCGUGGAGGCGGAGGAAGGCGCAGAUCCCAUAAGAAGCAGGUGCCUGCACUAGAGACAGAGGGGUUGCUCACCUAUGGGAAACAGCAGAGAUUUGGGGGAUUUUCAAGCAAACUAUAAAGUAUACAUCCAGCUUCUGAUUCAAUCUCCACGUAAAGUUUCAGAGGAAAUUAUGACACACAACAAAGAAAACACUGGAGUACAAACUGACAUGAGUGUGAUUUUGCCAUAAAAUCAUCAGCACCUCAGGAAGGUUUCCUCUCCACAAUCUCACAAUGCUGCCUGGCUUUCUUCCCUGUUGAGAUGCUAUGCCAUUUGCUUAAGUGUCCUGUACUAUAUGUACGAAGCUCUUUCUUAAUUAAAACUUCACAACUAAAAUAGAGUGGUGAGGAUAGGGAAUGUAUGUACAUCUGUCCAUCACACUGGACUUGUAUAGAGCUACAAAGCUGUUUUUCAAAGGUGGUGGUAUGUAUAUGACAAACGUUUCAUUUUUUCAGAUCAUAGGCCAUUGUCCUUGAUAGCCUUCCUUGUUGUGUCCCUGAAGCAGCAGCUUGGCAUUUCAUCAGCUUGACUGAUGGAUCAGCAAGCCUCCAGCAUCUUUCAGGAUCUGCCCAUCCUCCCUGGCUUGUUCAAGGCUACAGAUGCAAGGCCACACAAUACCUUGCUUUUAACAGGGGUUCUAGGAUUGAAACUCACAUCCUCAUACUUAGUUGGCCACUUUACCAUCUGACUCAUCUUUCCAUUUUAUGCUUUUCCGUUUUUAUAGCCCUUGUUAUUUGACUGGCUUAUUAGGUCAAACUACAAAUAGCAAAAAUAAAGAAACAAUCUAGAGAAAAUGUUCAUUGUUGAGUGGUACUGAGUACUACCCUCAACAAUACUGCAUAGUUAACAUGUGCUAAUUUCUCACAAAUGAUAAGACAGUAUCUGAGAUAAAUUUUAACUCAUAUCUGCCUAUGUGAUAGGAAAUUUUAAACUGAAAUGAAGCCCACCAUUCGAGGAAACCCCUCACAAUGAACUGUUAAAGAAGGUUCCCAAAUAAGUAAUGAAUAUCAUUGUUUUUCUUCCAAUUUUAUACCCUGAUUUUGUCUAGUAGCUGAACUCUGCAAAUAAAGUAAGAGUUGAAAAC
RNAcentral lists this long non-coding RNA (1139 nucleotides) under Mus pahari (shrew mouse). RNAcentral describes it as "lncRNA (MGP_PahariEiJ_G0005128.1)". Lineage: Eukaryota; Metazoa; Chordata; Mammalia; Rodentia; Muridae. The record is from RNAcentral.